This 101-nucleotide microRNA precursor is filed under the name Marmota monax (woodchuck). Lineage: Eukaryota; Metazoa; Chordata; Mammalia; Rodentia; Sciuridae. The record is from RNAcentral.
AGUGGAAUUGCUGGAUCACAUGGUAGCUGUAUUUAACCUUUUAAGGAACUUCUAGAUUGUUUUCCAAAGCUAAUGUAUCUUUGUCUAGUUCCUCCAACAAC